Dermacentor andersoni is the source of this 183-nucleotide small nuclear RNA. RefSeq annotates it as U2 spliceosomal RNA. NCBI's taxonomy places the organism in Eukaryota, Metazoa, Arthropoda, Arachnida, Ixodida, Ixodidae. The record is from RefSeq and is a predicted model, not a curated record.
AUGGACGACGUGGGUCAAAGUGUAGUAUCUCUUCUUAUAAGCGUCAUAUCUGAUACGGGUUGUAUUUGGACCCAAGAUAUUAAACUUGUUUUUGCAAGUUGGCGGAGUGCUUGUAGCCUGCUUCACCUCCGCCGAUUUCGAUGCUGUUGCAUAUAAAAGGUGUGCUGCCAAAAUUGCCAUUAC